AAGGCUGUAGCUCAGUCGGUAGAGCAAAUGUGCCUGUUUUCUUGUCGCUGCCUGCACCGAUUGACCCGGCGAAUGCCGGUGGAACUACAGGACAGCGUGGUCGCGGGUUCGAUUCCCGCCAACC
RNAcentral lists this transfer RNA (124 nucleotides) under Pseudomonas chlororaphis. RNAcentral describes it as "tRNA-OTHER". It matches the Rfam family "tRNA". Rfam says of the family: Transfer RNA (tRNA) molecules are approximately 80 nucleotides in length. Their secondary structure includes four short double-helical elements and three loops (D, anti-codon, and T loops). The record is from RNAcentral. Lineage: Bacteria; Pseudomonadati; Pseudomonadota; Gammaproteobacteria; Pseudomonadales; Pseudomonadaceae.